This 484-nucleotide ribosomal RNA is filed under the name uncultured bacterium. RNAcentral's name for it is "partial 16S ribosomal RNA". It matches the Rfam family "Bacterial small subunit ribosomal RNA", at positions 30 to 507 of the family's 1533-position model. The record is from RNAcentral.
AUUGAACGCUGGCGGAAUGCUUUACACAUGCAAGUCGAACGGCAGCACGGGGGCAGCCCUGGUGGCGAGUGGCGAACGGGUGAGUAAUACAUCGGAACGUGCCCGGUCGUGGGGGAUAACGUAGCGAAAGUUACGCUAAUACCGCAUACGAUCUGAGGAUGAAAGCGGGGGACCUUCGGGCCUCGCGCGAUCGUAGCGGCCGAUGUCAGAUUAGGUAGUUGGUGGGGUAAAGGCCUACCAAGCCGACGAUCUGUAGCUGGUCUGAGAGGACGACCAGCCACACUGGGACUGAGACACGGCCCAGACUCCUACGGGAGGCAGCAGUGGGGAAUUUUGGACAAUGGGCGCAAGCCUGAUCCAGCCAUUCCGCGUGCAGGACGAAGGCCUUCGGGUUGUAAACUGCUUUUGUACGGAACGAAAAGGCUCUGGCUAAUACCUGGGGCUCAUGACGGUACCGUAAGAAUAAGCACCGGCUAACUACGUG